UACAGAGUGCCUGAUUAAAGGAUAAUUUUGAUAGAAUUAAUAAUGUGUUCCUACACCUCUGUAA
Molecule: transfer RNA, 64 nt
Filed under: Cryptocephalus rugicollis
Lineage: Eukaryota; Metazoa; Arthropoda; Insecta; Coleoptera; Chrysomelidae
Description: tRNA-Ile
Source: RNAcentral